This is a long non-coding RNA of Gorilla gorilla gorilla (western lowland gorilla), 2404 nucleotides long. RefSeq lists it as uncharacterized. Lineage: Eukaryota; Metazoa; Chordata; Mammalia; Primates; Hominidae. The transcript is spliced from 5 exons. The record is from RefSeq and is a predicted model, not a curated record.
CCAUGGAGACAGCCAAUGGGAAAGAAGUUCCUGAGUGGGAGGCAGUACAGCAGGGAGAGGUGAGAAUGCGCCUCCAGGAACCAGGACUGGAAAUUCCCACUCUGCUGAGGAAUGCAGAGGCAUUCCUGGAGCUGCACAGAAGUACAUUGUCGAAGCCGGGAUGUCCCUGGGGAAACAUAGUCUCCCUCUGGCUUUCUCUGCUGGGAUCUGGGUGGUAGAAGCAGCAGGAGGAUCAACGAACAGGCUGAGCGCCAAGAAGCCUGAAGAUUCCAGAAUCUAGCGGGAAAAGCAUUCAGAGUCAGAAUGAGGCACCACGCCAGCCUAUGAGCAGCCGCAGGGGUUGAGCCCUGCAGAGCCCCAGAGGCAGAGCUGCCCAAGGCUUUGGGAGCCCACCCCUUGCAUCACUGUGCCCUGGAUGUGAGACGUGGAAUCGAGGAGAUUAUUUUGGAGCUUUAAGAGGUUCAUAGGUGGAAGGGACUAACUAGCCUUGUCUCAGAUGAGACUUUGGACUGUGGACUUUUGAGCUAAUGCUGGAAUGAGUUAAGACUUCGGGGAAGGAACUGUUGAGAAGGCAUGAUUGGAUUUUGCAAUGUGAGAAGGACAUGAGAUUUGGGAGCGGCCGGGGUGGAAUGAUACAGUUUGGAUCUGUAUGGAUCUGUGUCUCCAUCCACAUCUCAUGUCAAACUGUAAUCCUCAGUGUUGGCGGAGGAGCCUGGUGGGAGGCGAUUGGAUCAUGGGGGCAGGUUCUCAUGAAUGCGUUAGCGCCGUCUCCCCAGUGCGGCUCUCAUGAUAGAGUUCUCACAAGAUCUGCUUGUCUAAAAGUGUGUAGCACCUCCUCCCCCUCUCUCUCUUCCUCCUGCUCUGGCAUGUAAGACGUGCCCGUGUCCCCUUCCUCCACCACAAGAUUGUAAGUUUUCUGGAGCCUCCCCAGAAGCUGAGAAGAAGCUGCUAUGCUUCCUGUUCAGCCUGCAGAACCGUGAGCCAAUUAAACCUCUUUUCUUUAUAAAGUACCCAGUCUCAGGUAGUUCUUUAUAGAAGUAUGAGAAUGAACUAAUAAACCUGGUCUUAAGCCCCACCCUGAUCAAGACCCUCCCUGCCUGGACCCUCCUUAGCGCCCACUGGUCUACGGCAGUCCACUCUUGCAGCACCUUUGGGGGCUCUUGCUUUCCUCCCUUAUCAAGCCUAGCCUGUCCCCAGCUGGGUUAUGCUGCCAUGUAAUCCUACUUAUUGGCUUUGCAGCCAGGAAAGGAGAUGGGGGCAGGUCCUGCGGGGGGCCCUGCUAUCGUGUAGGGGAGAGACCUCUACAGGGUGGGGAAAGGGCUGACUCUUGAGAGAAGUGGCAAUCCCUGCCAGCACUGAGGGCUCAGAGGGGUCUUGGGAACCAAAGUCAUCAGGGGCAUCCACCACCUGGGUCUUCCCACCAUCAGAGCAAUUUCCCAAGUCAGCAUCACUGAAAGUAUAGCAACUGGGUUGCUGUGUCAUCCUAGGCACCCUCUGUGCCUCCCAGACCACCUGGGAUGGAGCCCUCAUGCUAGCUGAUCAAGGUGCCACGCCCUCUCUUUAUUGCUUUCUCAGGCCACUUCCAGCAUCGAUGGUGUCAGGUCAGGUCCUCUGGGUAGAAGAAAUGGAGUCAGUUAGGAGUGCUGGAGACUGAGUAAGAGGUGGCAGCUGAGGCUUACUACCCCAGGAAAGGGAUGCCACCAGAGAAGGCAGACAACCAAGAUGGCGACUCUCAAUUUUUGAGCUCCUAAUUUUCUCAUGUCAGACAUAAGAAAAAAAAUAUUUUUUAAAGAAAAAGCUUUAGGUUGCAAAAAUCUAGGCCUUUCAACUUUAAAAUCCUAUUCUUGCAAGCCUUGGAGAAUAAAGCUUAUGCAUAAACAGUAGAUUUGGAAACAGAAAUAUGCCUAAUUACCCAGAGCCAUUCUUUCAAUACGCCAGUGAUUGUUUAAAGAUUCUAUAGGCUGGAGUCAAUGGCAGGAGGCGGGUGGGAAAAGAGUCAAGAGGGAGGAGAGAAGAAGCAAGAGGGUUGGGUAGAUAUUGUCACAUGACCCUGAGAGGAGGAUUCUGGGUCAAACCUCUAGGGGGUUGUGUGUAAUGGAGACUCCAGAUCCAUUUGGGAAUCUGGGUCCAAAGAAGACUUCACCUUGCCUUCUGAGUGGAGCCCUGAAGUGGCAAGACUCAUAGAAUUCCCCCACGGGUCCACACGAGAGAGAAUGAAUAGAGAAGGCUGCGUGCUGGCUGGACCAAGGCAGCCUCGGGUGACACUGCCACCACCACCACCACUGCUGCCGCUGCCGCCAUCGCCAUCACCACUGCUGCUGCCAUCGCCGCCACCACCACCACCAUCACCACCACCACCACCACCACCAACCACCACCACCACCACCACCACCACCACCACCAC